CAGCAGCAUGUUCCAGUGCUCCAACCGAUCCUAGGAUGCAAAUCAACCUGCUAUCAGCUGGCCAACACUCAACAGGAGCUUGACGAUCUCAAGGAGAAGCUUCUUCCAUCUGAGCCUACUGCCUACACCCUGGACAAGCAGCUACCAAAACACUGAAAGUUCUGCAGAUCCUGGAUGAACGGCUGCCACAACCAUCAGCACAGCAGCAUGUUCCAGUGCUCCAACAGAUCCUAGGAUGCAAAUCAACCUGCUAUCAGCUGGCCAACACUCAACAGGAGCUUGACGAUCUCAAGGAGAAGCUUCUUCCAUCUGAGCCUACUGCCUACACCCUGGACAAGCAGCUACCAAAACACUGAAAGUUCUGCAGAUCCUGGAUGAACGGCUGCCACAACCAUCAGCACAGCAGCAUGUUCCAGUGCUCCAACAGAUCCUAGGAUGCAAAUCAACCUGCUAUCAGCUGGCCAACACUCAACAGGAGCUUGACGAUCUCAAGGAGAAGCUUCUUCCAUCUGAGCCUACUGCCUACACCCUGGACAAGCAGCUACCAAAACACUGAAAGUUCUGCAGAUCCUGGAUGAACGGCUGCCACAACCAUCAGCACAGCAGCAUGUUCCAGUGCUCCAACAGAUCCUAGGAUGCAAAUCAACCUGCUAUCAGCUGGCCAACACUCAACAGGAGCUUGACGAUCUCAAGGAGAAGCUUCUUCCAUCUGAGCCUACUGCCUACACCCUGGACAAGCAGCUACCAAAACACUGAAAGUUCUGCAGAUCCUGGAUGAACGGCUGCCACAACCAUCAGCACAGCAGCAUGUUCCAGUGCUCCAACAGAUCCUAGGAUGCAAAUCAACCUGCUAUCAGCUGGCCAACACUCAACAGGAGCUUGACGAUCUCAAGGAGAAGCUUCUUCCAUCUGAGCCUACUGCCUACACCCUGGACAAGCAGCUACCAAAACACUGAAAGUUCUGCAGGUGCUGGGUGAUUGUC
Long non-coding RNA from Ochotona curzoniae (black-lipped pika), 983 nucleotides. RefSeq lists it as uncharacterized. Lineage: Eukaryota; Metazoa; Chordata; Mammalia; Lagomorpha; Ochotonidae. The transcript has 5 exons. The record is from RefSeq and is a predicted model, not a curated record.